Aegilops tauschii subsp. strangulata is the source of this 645-nucleotide non-coding RNA. NCBI's taxonomy places the organism in Eukaryota, Viridiplantae, Streptophyta, Magnoliopsida, Poales, Poaceae. The record is from RefSeq and is a predicted model, not a curated record.
CCAUCUGACCUCGUCGGUGCCCAUGGCGCACGUCUCCGUACGCCUGUAUUCUGCCCCGCCCCUCAACGGCCUCCGGCCAAACUCGCCGGUGUGUCGUCCCGUCUGCCGGUAUCGCACAACAUUAACCGUGGCCCCGCCCACCGAUGAGCUCGCAACCUCCCACGCCGUCGCGCUUAUCUCCACCAGGAUCGGACACCACUACUCUGGAAUCCAGUCCACCUCGUCAGGGUAGCAUCUUGAUUCGGAAAAGAAUCAAGUACGAAUGGAGUAUGGCAGGAUUCACCCACCCCAUACACAUCAGAACUAGGACAGUGCACUGCUUGUUAUGCUCGGUGGAGGCUAUGUUUGGCGUUACACGGCAUUCUGGACAUCAUUUGGCGUACAAGAGAGGACGACGUUAGCCAAACAGAAGCUGAGAGACAUGUUGUUACUUGAACGGGUUUAGGCACACUAUGAAUUGCAAUCUCAAUUUCCUGAAAGCAUAUGUAAUAAAUAGAAAAAUAGGAUUUUUAUGUUCGUCCGAAACAAAUUAUGUUCUGUUUCAAUCCAGUGGAUGGGAACAACAUUUGCUUCAUCGUAAACAAAAUGUACGGAACAAUGGAUGCCACUUUUUGUUAGAUGGAAGCAACUCUCAGUUCCGUGGAA